GACGAACGCUGGCGGCGUGCUUAACACAUGCAAGUCGAACGGAAAGGCCCUGCUUUUGUGGGGUGCUCGAGUGGCGAACGGGUGAGUAACACGUGAGUAACCUGCCCUUGACUUUGGGAUAACUUCAGGAAACUGGGGCUAAUACCGGAUAGGAGCUCCUGCUGCAUGGUGGGGGUUGGAAAGUUUCGGCGGUUGGGGAUGGACUCGAGGCUUAUCAGCUUGUUGGUGGGGUAGUGGCUUACCAAGGCUUUGACGGGUAGCCGGCCUGAGAGGGUGACCGGCCACAUUGGGACGGAGAUACGGCCCAGACUCCUACGGGAGGCAGCAGUGGGGAAUAUUGCACAAUGGGCGGAAGCCUGAUGCAGCAACGCCGCGUGCGGGAUGACGGCCUUCGGGUUGUAAACCGCUUUCGCCUGUGACGAAGCGUGAGGGACGGUAAUGGGUAAAGAAGCACCGGCUAACUACGU
RNAcentral lists this ribosomal RNA (467 nucleotides) under uncultured bacterium. RNAcentral's name for it is "partial 16S ribosomal RNA". It matches the Rfam family "Bacterial small subunit ribosomal RNA", at positions 28 to 506 of the family's 1533-position model. The record is from RNAcentral.